This 425-nucleotide ribosomal RNA is filed under the name uncultured bacterium. RNAcentral describes it as "partial 16S ribosomal RNA". It matches the Rfam family "Bacterial small subunit ribosomal RNA", at positions 354 to 796 of the family's 1533-position model. The record is from RNAcentral.
GUUAGGAAUAUUGGACAAUGGGCGCAAGCCUGAUCCAGCCAUGCCGCGUGAGUGAUGAAGGCCUUCGGGUUGUAAAGCUCUUUAGUCCACGAAUAUAAUGACUGUAGUGGAAGAAUAAGCCCCGGCUAACUUCGUGCCAGCAGCCGCGGUAAUACGAAGGGGGCGAGCGUUAUUCGGAAUCACUGGGCGUAAAGCGUGCGUAGGCUGUUUUGUAAGUCAGAAGUGAAAGCCCAGGGCUCAACCCUGGAAUUGCUUUUGAAACUACAAGACUCGAAUUCGGGAGAGGAUAGCGGAAUUGUCAGUGUAGCAGUGAAAUGCGUAGAUAUUGACAGGAACACCAGUGGCGCAAGCGGCUAUCUGGACCGAUAUUGACGCUGAGGCACGAAAGCGUGGGGAGCAAACAGGAUUAGAAACCCGGGUAGUCC